AAACGCAUAUGGCAAAACCGGAGCAAUCCGGCGACGCAAAGCUAAACGGACUCCGCAAACGGGAGUCAGCCAGUUGCCCGG
RNAcentral lists this non-coding RNA (81 nucleotides) under Caballeronia arationis. Its description in RNAcentral is "GEMM cis-regulatory element". It matches the Rfam family "c-di-GMP-I riboswitch aptamer". Rfam says of the family: GEMM was predicted in a large-scale screen for bacterial structured RNA regulatory elements. Genes associated with GEMM are involved in a diverse array of functions, including chemotaxis regulation, signal transduction, secretion and chitin. Lineage: Bacteria; Pseudomonadati; Pseudomonadota; Betaproteobacteria; Burkholderiales; Burkholderiaceae. The record is from RNAcentral.